UUCCAUAUUUUUAUUUUGACUUGGUAUUUUGAAUUUAGAUAAGUAUAUGGGCAUUGCUUCCUGCUCCUUAUUUUUUGUUUCUUGCACCCCUUUUUAAAUUCCAAAUUUUCCUAAUUGUAGUAGACACAUGAUAGAGAGGUGGUUGUUGUCGACAUUGAUCCCUCUCCCUUCAAGAUGCUAAUCUCACACCUCAUGUCCUCCUCAAAUAAGCAAUGCUCCCAUGCAGACCUCCUUCACUCCUCCAUUCCUCCUCACACAACUCCUUCAUUCCUCGUCGCACCUCCUCAACUCCUCAUCACAUCAGGAGGCACGUGCCAUGUAUGCAUCCUUCUCUAGAGGUAGCUCACACAUGAUGAAUCCGACCUUUGAUUGCACCUCUUCUCUCAUAAGAAGUCCUUCCUCAAAUCGCUCAUCCUUUCUCAAUUCAAAUUGAGAACGCCUAAUCCAUCUCCAAGAAACUCUGCAACACCAUUUCUGAGGAGGGAGCAUUCAAUGGAGGUUUUCUCGAGCUUUUCAAGGUUCUCAAGGUUUUGAUAGCAACAUUGAUUUAAGGCUCGAAUGGCUUUGCCUGUUGUGUGUGUCGUGUUUGUGUGGGUUGCGAGAAAAGCAUUGCGUUCAUGUAGUAUUAUGUAUUUUUUUCAAACAUGGCUUUUAUUUUUGGAUUGACAAUUCUAGAAUAGUAAAAUUUUGUUUUCAUGAUUCUAGAUUGUACAUUCCGAAAUCAUGCAUAAAUAAUUAGGGAAUGGGAAAUCCAGAAUUAUGUUUGUGUAAUUAUGGAAUAGACAAUCCAAAAUUAUGUUUGCGUAAUUAUGGAAUGGACAAUCCAGAAUUAUUUAUCCAUCCUAGAAUUAUGCAUACAUGU
Molecule: long non-coding RNA, 862 nt
Filed under: Glycine max (soybean)
Lineage: Eukaryota; Viridiplantae; Streptophyta; Magnoliopsida; Fabales; Fabaceae
Description: long non-coding RNA (GMAX_LNC002178)
Source: RNAcentral